This 85-nucleotide transfer RNA is filed under the name Felis catus (domestic cat). It matches the Rfam family "tRNA". Rfam says of the family: Transfer RNA (tRNA) molecules are approximately 80 nucleotides in length. Their secondary structure includes four short double-helical elements and three loops (D, anti-codon, and T loops). RNAcentral also lists the same sequence under 2 other names. The record is from Rfam by way of RNAcentral. Lineage: Eukaryota; Metazoa; Chordata; Mammalia; Carnivora; Felidae.
GCUUGGGUGGCUCAGUUGGUUAAGCGUCAGACUUCAGUUCAGGUCAUAAUCUCACAGUUCUCAGGUUCAAAUCCUGCCUUGGGCU